This 330-nucleotide ribosomal RNA is filed under the name uncultured bacterium. Its description in RNAcentral is "bacterial SSU rRNA". It matches the Rfam family "Bacterial small subunit ribosomal RNA", at positions 568 to 898 of the family's 1533-position model. The record is from RNAcentral.
UCCGUAGGCGGUGUGGCAAGUCGGAAGUGAAAUCUCUGGGCUUAACCCAGAGGCUGCUUCCGAAACUGCCGUGCUAGAGUGUGAGAGAGGCGAGUGGAAUUGCGGGUGUAGCGGUGAAAUGCGUAGAUAUCCGCAGGAACAUCCGAGGCGAAAGCGGCUCGCUGGAUCACAACUGACGCUGAGGGACGAAAGCUAGAGGAGCAAACAGGAUUAGAUACCCUGGUAGUCCUAGCCCUAAACCAUCAGGACUUGGGGUUUGCCCUGUACGGGGCAAGUCCCGUAGCUAACGCGUUAAGUCCUGCACCUGGGGAGUACGGUCGCAAGGCUGAA